Molecule: ribosomal RNA, 229 nt
Filed under: uncultured bacterium
Lineage: Bacteria
Description: partial 16S ribosomal RNA
Rfam family: Bacterial small subunit ribosomal RNA
Source: RNAcentral
UACGUAGGCGGAAAAUUUAGUCAGUGGUGAAAUCCCGCAGCUUAACUGUGGAACUGUCAUUGAUACUGGUUUUCUUGAAUUUAGUUGAGGUAGGCGGAAUGUGUAAUGUAGCGGUGAAAUGCUUAGAUAUUACACAGAACACCGAUUGCGAAGGCAGCUUACUAAGCUAUGAUUGACGCUGAGGUACGAAAGCGUGGGGAGCGAACAGGAUUAGAUACCCUGGUAGUCU